ACGAACGCUGGCGGCAGGCCUAACACAUGCAAGUCGAACGCUCCAGCAAUGGAGAGUGGCAGACGGGUGAGUAACGCGUGGGAACCUUCCCAAUGGUACGGAAUAGCUCAGGGAAACUUGAGGUAAUAUCGUAUAAGCCCCUAGGGGGAAAGAUUUAUCGCCAUUGGAUGGGCCCGCGUCGGAUUAGCUAGUUGGUGAGGUAAUGGCUCACCAAGGCGACGAUCCGUAGCUGGUUUGAGAGAAUGACCAGCCACACUGGGACUGAGACACGGCCCAGACUCCUACGGGAGGCAGCAGUGGGGAAUAUUGGACAAUGGGCGCAAGCCUGAUCCAGCCAUGCCGCGUGAGUGACGAAGGCCUUAGGGUUGUAAAGCUCUUUUGGCGGGGACGAUAAUGACGGUACCCGCAGAAUAAGUCCCGGCUAACUUCGU
Molecule: ribosomal RNA, 431 nt
Filed under: uncultured bacterium
Lineage: Bacteria
Description: bacterial SSU rRNA
Rfam family: Bacterial small subunit ribosomal RNA
Source: RNAcentral